Molecule: ribosomal RNA, 986 nt
Filed under: human gut metagenome
Description: bacterial SSU rRNA
Rfam family: Bacterial small subunit ribosomal RNA
Source: RNAcentral
UCAAUGGACGCAAGUCUGAACCAGCCAUGCCGCGUGCAGGAAGACGGCUCUAUGAGUUGUAAACUGCUUUUGUACGAGGGUAAACUCACCUACGUGUAGGUGACUGAAAGUAUCGUACGAAUAAGGAUCGGCUAACUCCGUGCCAGCAGCCGCGGUAAUACGGAGGAUCCAAGCGUUAUCCGGAUUUAUUGGGUUUAAAGGGUGCGUAGGCGGUUUGAUAAGUUAGAGGUGAAAUUUCGGGGCUCAACCCUGAACGUGCCUCUAAUACUGUUGAGCUAGAGAGUAGUUGCGGUAGGCGGAAUGUAUGGUGUAGCGGUGAAAUGCUUAGAGAUCAUACAGAACACCGAUUGCGAAGGCAGCUUACCAAACUAUAUCUGACGUUGAGGCACGAAAGCGUGGGGAGCAAACAGGAUUAGAUACCCUGGUAGUCCACGCAGUAAACGAUGAUAACUCGUUGUCGGCGAUACACAGUCGGUGACUAAGCGAAAGCGAUAAGUUAUCCACCUGGGGAGUACGUUCGCAAGAAUGAAACUCAAAGGAAUUGACGGGGGCCCGCACAAGCGGAGGAACAUGUGGUUUAAUUCGAUGAUACGCGAGGAACCUUACCCGGGCUUGAAAGUUAGCGACGAUUCUUGAAAGAGGAUUUCCCUUCGGGGCGCGAAACUAGGUGCUGCAUGGUUGUCGUCAGCUCGUGCCGUGAGGUGUCGGGUUAAGUCCCAUAACGAGCGCAACCCCUACCGUUAGUUGCCAUCAGGUGAAGCUGGGCACUCUGGCGGGACUGCCGGUGUAAGCCGAGAGGAAGGUGGGGAUGACGUCAAAUCAGCACGGCCCUUACGUCCGGGGCUACACACGUGUUACAAUGGUAGGUACAGAGGGCAGCUACCCAGCGAUGGGAUGCGAAUCUCGAAAGCCUAUCUCAGUUCGGAUUGGAGGCUGAAACCCGCCUCCAUGAAGUUGGAUUCGCUAGUAAUCGCGCAUCAGCCAUG